Fukomys damarensis (Damara mole-rat) is the source of this 362-nucleotide long non-coding RNA. RefSeq lists it as uncharacterized. The transcript is spliced from 3 exons. Lineage: Eukaryota; Metazoa; Chordata; Mammalia; Rodentia; Bathyergidae. The record is from RefSeq and is a predicted model, not a curated record.
CUGAUGAAAGGAGUGGACCAUGGAAACAGGAACUUGGAGAUGGUAUCUGUCCCAACCCCUUCAUUGCUGGCUCUUUCCUUCUCUCUCUCUCUCUCUUGAUUACCAUGAGGUAUUUGUCACAGAACAGCUGACUAGCCCAUGGGCCCAGACUAUCUUCCUGGAAAAAAAUUGAUGAAAACCAAACCUAGAGAGGAAGGUGGCCUGCAAAGAGAAGGUCCUCACAGCAUAUUGUCACAGAACCAAGCAAACAUGUGAAUGAUUUUCCAAGUUGGGCUGCUUAUUGACAGAUACCUUUGGGUCUUCUGUUCGGGACAGAAGACAACGGAACACAAAUAAAAAGGAAGUGCAAUUCCAGAUUUUGA